GGAUUUUGAUGUAAUACAAGGCAUGGAUUGGUUGGGUUGUAAUUACGCCACCAUCCGAUGUAAGAAAAGGGAGGUAUCAUUUCAGAAACCAGGAGACGAACCAUUUUCGUUCCUUGGAAUGAAGACGAAACCCCUUAUUCGACUAGUAUUGGCUUUGCAAGCUGAGAAGAUGUUGAGAAAAGAAACAUGUCAAGGAUAUUUAGUAAAUAUCUCAGGAGGAAAACAGGAGACGAUAAAGGUUGAAAACGUACCAAUAGUAUAGGAAUUCGUAGAUGUGUUUCCAGAAGAUCUAUCUGGUAUUCCACCAGAUAGGCAAGUGGGAUUUACCAUAGACCUAAUUCUCGGAGCGACACCAGUGUCAAAAGCCCCAUACCGA
RNAcentral lists this long non-coding RNA (376 nucleotides) under Olea europaea subsp. europaea. Lineage: Eukaryota; Viridiplantae; Streptophyta; Magnoliopsida; Lamiales; Oleaceae. The record is from RNAcentral.